AUGGCUUUCUUGGUGGCUGGGAUGCUGCAGGUGGCCUCGCAGGUGGCUGAUGCUCGGGAGAGCCUGGGAAGAAAGGGUAAGUACAGCGUGAAGGGCCCAAGGGUGGCCCUGGCCCUCUGCAGCCCUGAGGUGUCAGCCUCUACGGUCGCUCUCCUGGAGGGCGUGUUCCAGACCCUGGGCUUUGAGAGCUGCCAGAGGCAGGAGUCCUCCAUCCAGGGCUUCCGUUGGGAGCUGACGAGGUUCCGGGAGCGGCUGGAUGCCCAUGGGGGCCCGGUGGGCUGUGCUUUUGUGGCCUUGGUGGCCCCCCGCCGGCAGCUGAGGCAGUCGCAGCAGUUGUUCCGGGAGCUGAGCCGCUGCAAGGCCCUGUGGGGCCGCCCCAAGGUCUUCCUGCUGCUCUCCAGUGCUCCCGGGGCUGUCCCUGAGCCUGGGGCCUUCCUCGCCAGCCUGGGCGAGCUCUGCGGCCGCCAUCCUCACUGGUCACUGCUGCAGCUGCUAACAGAGGUCUUCUCCAGGACAGCUCAAGAGUCGGCAGGGGCUGCCUACUGCCCGGUGCUUCGGAGCUCCUUGCGGGGGGCACUGUGCCUAGGGAAUGAGGAGCCCUGGGGGCCUGAGGUGAGGGGGCAGGGCGGGGGUCCAACCACAUGGCAGCAGUUUUGA
This 657-nucleotide long non-coding RNA is filed under the name Cervus hanglu yarkandensis (Yarkand deer). RNAcentral describes it as "lncRNA (ENSCHYG00000001336.1)". Lineage: Eukaryota; Metazoa; Chordata; Mammalia; Artiodactyla; Cervidae. The record is from RNAcentral.